Molecule: ribosomal RNA, 207 nt
Filed under: uncultured bacterium
Lineage: Bacteria
Description: partial 16S ribosomal RNA
Rfam family: Bacterial small subunit ribosomal RNA
Source: RNAcentral
UACGAAGGGGGCUAGCGUUGCUCGGAAUCACUGGGCGUAAAGCGCACGUAGGCGGACUCUUAAGUCAGGGGUGAAAUCCUGGAGCUCAACUCCAGAACUGCCUUUGAUACUGAGAAUCUCGAGUUCGGGAGAGGUGAGUGGAACUGCGAGUGUAGAGGUGAAAUUCGUAGAUAUUCGCAAGAACACCAGUGGCGAAGGCGACUCACU